RNAcentral lists this ribosomal RNA (253 nucleotides) under uncultured bacterium. RNAcentral describes it as "partial 16S ribosomal RNA". It matches the Rfam family "Bacterial small subunit ribosomal RNA", at positions 524 to 776 of the family's 1533-position model. The record is from RNAcentral.
UACGUAGGGAGCAAGCGUUGUCCGGAAUCAUUGGGCGUAAAGCGCGCGUAGGUGGCUUCGUAAGUCCGUUGUGAAAGUCAAAGGCUCAACCUUUGAAAGCCGAUGGAUACUGUGAAGCUAGAGUACGGAAGAGGCGAGUGGAAUUCCUGGUGUAGCGGUUGAAUGCGCAGAUAUCAGGAGGAACACCAAUAGCGAAGGCAGCUCGCUGGGACGUUACUGACACUGAGGCGCGAAAGCGUGGGGAGCGAACAGG